UCUUGGCCACAUGUGAAGGUGAGGCCCUUUAUCUUAUUUGCCAAAUUAACAAGAACCCCAACGCAAAUAAUUUCUCAUUUCUUGGCGAACUCAAGUUUGAAAUCUCUGCUCAGUGCUUACGCUUCUGGUUAGCUUGGUUCAUAGAGAGCUAGCUGUCUAAAAAUGGCACCAUCAUCAGCAACCUAUGUGGUUGGCUCUGCAACUACUCUUCUUCAGCCCCUUCUCCGGAAAAGAACCAUCCCCUUCAAUUCUUAUCAUAACGGUGCGUUUUGGACUUGGAAGGAGAACAAGAAGCAGCGGAAACUUACUUUCACUUCUACUUCCCUCUCAUCCAAGACUUGUUCUUGGCGUCCAAUUUCUGCCUCGCCUUUCGAUCUUUCCCCUCCACCUAUCGAUCUCGACCUCCUGGAAACAUUGACGGCAGAUGGGGCAAAAGCUUCAGAAGACGGGAUCAUUGAGACAUUUGAUAACGAUGAUGAAGCAUUAGAUGCUUUUGAUAAUGG
RNAcentral lists this unclassified non-coding RNA (503 nucleotides) under Hevea brasiliensis (rubber tree). Lineage: Eukaryota; Viridiplantae; Streptophyta; Magnoliopsida; Malpighiales; Euphorbiaceae. The record is from RNAcentral.